UACAGAGGGUGCAAGCGUUAAUCGGAAUUACUGGGCGUAAAGCGUGCGUAGGUGGUUUGUUAAGUCAGGCGUGAAAUCCCUGGGCUCAACCUGGGAACUGCGCUUGAUACUGGCAGACUAGAGUGUGGUAGAGGGUAGUGGAAUUCCGCAUGUAGCAGUGAAAUGCGUAGAUAUGCGGAGGAACACCAGUGGCGAAGGCGGCUACCUGGACCAACACUGACACUGAGGCACGAAAGCGUGGGGAGCAAACAGG
Molecule: ribosomal RNA, 253 nt
Filed under: uncultured bacterium
Lineage: Bacteria
Description: partial 16S ribosomal RNA
Rfam family: Bacterial small subunit ribosomal RNA
Source: RNAcentral